AACGCACAUUGCGCCCGCCAGUAUUCUGGCGGGCAUGCCCGUCCGAGCGUCAUUUCAACCAUCAAGCUCUGCUUGCGUUGGGGAUCCGCGGCUGCCCGCGGUCCCUCAAAAACAGUGGCGGGCUCGCUAGUCACACCGAGCGUAGUAACUCUACAUCGCUAUGGUCGUGCGGCGGGUUCUUGCCGUAAAACCCCCCAAUUUUUAAGGUUGACCUCGGAUCGGGUAGGAGUACCCGCUGAACUUAA
Molecule: unclassified non-coding RNA, 245 nt
Filed under: uncultured Sordariales
Lineage: Eukaryota; Fungi; Ascomycota; Sordariomycetes; Sordariales
Description: sequence contains 5.8S rRNA gene, ITS2, 28S rRNA gene
Source: RNAcentral